Molecule: ribosomal RNA, 473 nt
Filed under: uncultured bacterium
Lineage: Bacteria
Description: SSU rRNA
Rfam family: Bacterial small subunit ribosomal RNA
Source: RNAcentral
AGGACGAACGCUGGCGGCGUGCUUAACACAUGCAAGUCGAGCGGAAAGGCCCUUCGGGGUACUCGAGCGGCGAACGGGUGAGUAACACGUGAGCAACCUGCCCUUAGCUCUGGGAUAGCUCCGGGAAACCGGAAUUAAUACCGGAUACGACCUAGGCCGACAUCGGCCAUGGUGGAAAGUUUUUCGGCUAGGGAUGGACUCGCGGCCUAUCAGCUAGUUGGUGGGGUAAAGGCCUACCAAGGCGACGACGGGUAGCCGGCCUGAGAGGGCGACCGGCCACACUGGGACUGAGACACGGCCCAGACUCCUACGGGAGGCAGCAGUGGGAAUCUUGCGCAAUGGGCGAAAGCCUGACGCAGCGACGCCGCGUGGGGGAUGAAGGCCUUCGGGUUGUAAACCCCUUUCAGCAGGGACGAAGCGAAAGUGACGGUACCUGCAGAAGAAGCGCCGGCUAACUACGCGCCAGCAGCCGC